GAAAUGCGAUAAGUAGUGUGAAUUGCAGAAUUCAGUGAAUCAUCGAAUCUUUGAACGCACAUUGCGCCCUUUGGUAUUCCAAAGGGCAUGCCUGUUCGAGCGUCAUUUGUACCCUCAAGCUUUGCUUGGUGUUGGGCGUUUUUUGUCUUUGGUUGCCAAAGACUCGCCUUAAAAGGAUUGGCAGCCGGCCUACUGGUUUCGCAGCGCAGCACAUUUUUGCGCUUGCAAUCAGCAAAAGAGGACGGCAAUCCAUCAAGACUCCUUCUCACGUUUGACCUCGGAUCAGGUAGGGAUACCCGCUGAACUUAAGC
RNAcentral lists this unclassified non-coding RNA (311 nucleotides) under plant metagenome. RNAcentral's name for it is "partial contains 5.8S ribosomal RNA, internal transcribed spacer 2, and large subunit ribosomal RNA". The stretch from base 1 to 105 matches the Rfam family "5.8S ribosomal RNA", at positions 50 to 154 of the family's 154-position model. The record is from RNAcentral.